GGAGGGGUGGCUGAGCGGUCGAAAGCGACGGUCUUGAAAACCGUUAGGCCCCGUUAGGGGUCUCGAGGGUUCGAAUCCCUCCCCCUCCG
RNAcentral lists this transfer RNA (89 nucleotides) under Acidimicrobiia bacterium. It matches the Rfam family "tRNA". Rfam says of the family: Transfer RNA (tRNA) molecules are approximately 80 nucleotides in length. Their secondary structure includes four short double-helical elements and three loops (D, anti-codon, and T loops). Lineage: Bacteria; Bacillati; Actinomycetota; Acidimicrobiia. The record is from Rfam by way of RNAcentral.